This 274-nucleotide ribosomal RNA is filed under the name uncultured bacterium. RNAcentral describes it as "partial 16S ribosomal RNA". It matches the Rfam family "Bacterial small subunit ribosomal RNA", at positions 523 to 796 of the family's 1533-position model. The record is from RNAcentral.
CUACGGAGGGUCCGAGCGUUAUCCGGAAUCAUUGGGUUUAAAGGGUCCGUAGGCGGGAAUCUAAGUCAGUGGUGAAAUCUUGCAGCUCAACUGUAAAAUUGCCAUUGAUACUGGAUUUCUUGAAUUAGUGUGAAGUGGUUAGAAUGUGUAGUGUAGCGGUGAAAUGCAUAGAUAUUACACAGAAUACCAAUUGCGAAGGCAGAUCACUAACACUAUAUUGACGCUAAGGGACGAAAGCGUGGGGAGCGAACAGGAUUAGAAACCCUAGUAGUCC